Molecule: ribosomal RNA, 406 nt
Filed under: uncultured bacterium
Lineage: Bacteria
Description: partial 16S ribosomal RNA
Rfam family: Bacterial small subunit ribosomal RNA
Source: RNAcentral
AUUGAACGCUAGCGGGAUGCUUUACACAUGCAAGUCGAACGAGUGGCGGACGGGUGAGUAAUGUAUCGGAACGUGCCCAGUAGAGGGGGAUAACUACUGGAAACGGUGGCUAAUACCGCAUACCAUCGGAGCGGCCGAUAUGGGAUUAGCUAGUUGGUGGGGUAAAGGCUCACCAAGGCGACGAUCCCUAGCUGGUUUGAGAGGAUGACCAGCCGCACUGGGACUGAGACACGGCCCAGACUCCUACGGGAGGCAGCAGUGGGGAAUAUUGGACAAUGGGGGAAAGCCUGAUGCAGCCAUGCCGCGUGUAUGAUGAAGGCCUUCGGGUUGUAAAGUACUUUCAGCGGGGAGGCGGUAUCUGCAGAAGAAGCACCGGCUAACUACGUGCCAGCAGCCGCGGUAAUAC